Molecule: ribosomal RNA, 305 nt
Filed under: uncultured bacterium
Lineage: Bacteria
Description: bacterial SSU rRNA
Rfam family: Bacterial small subunit ribosomal RNA
Source: RNAcentral
CCUACGGGACGCAGCAGUGAGGAAUAUUGGUCAAUGGGAGAGAUCCUGAACCAGCCAAGCCGCGUGAGGGAAGACGGCCCUAUGGGUUGUAAACCUCUUUUGUCGGAGAACAAAACCCGGGACGUGUCCCGGACUGCGUGUAUCCGAAGAAAAAGCAUCGGCUAACUCCGUGCCAGCAGCCGCGGUAAUACGUAGGGGGCAAGCGUUAUCCGGAAUCACUGGGUGUAAAGGGAGCGUAGACGGCUGUGCAAGCCUGAAGCGAAAGGCGGGGGCCCAACCCCCGGACUGCUUUGGGAACUGUACGG